GUCAAGAAAUGGUAAGGAUAACUCUUCUAUAUACACGGGGUACCAGUACUGAAUCUAUGUGCAGGGGUACCAGGUAAUACCAUGGUUAUAUACACGGGGUACCAGUACUGAAUCUAUGUGCAGGGUUACCAGGUAAUAACAUGGCUAUAUACAGGGAGUACCAGGUAAUAACAUGGUUAUAUACAGGGAGUACCAGGUAAUAACAUGGUUAUAUACAGGGAGUACCAGGUAAUAACAUGGUUAUAUACAGGGAGUACCAGGUAAUAACAUGGUUAUAUACAGGGAGUACCAGGUAAUAACAUGGUUAUAUACAGGGAGUACCAGGUAAUAACAUGGUUAUAUACAGGGAGUACCAGGUAAUAACAUGGCUAUAUACAGGGAGUACCAGGUAAUAACAUGGCUAUAUACAGGGAGUACCAGGUAAUAACAUGGCUAUAUACAGGGAGUACCAGGUAAUAACAUGGCUAUAUACAGGGAGUACCAGUACUGAGUCGAUGUGCACAUAUAGGUAGCGAUAAAGUCACUAGACAACAGGAUAGAUAGUAGACAGUAACAGCAGUAUACUGUAGGUAGGGGUAAAGGAUAGAUAGUAGACAGUAACAGCAGUAUACUGUAGGUAGGGGUAAAUGAUAGAUAAUAGACAGUAACAGCAGUAUACUGUAGGUAGGGGUAAAGGAUAGAUAAUAGACAGUAACAGCAGUAUACUGUAGGUAGGGGUAAAGGAUAGAUAAUAGACAGUAACAGCACUAUACUGUAGGUAGGGGUAAAGGAUAGAUAAUAGACAGUAACAGCAGUAUACUGUAGGUAGGGGUAAAGGAUAGAUAAUAGACAGUAACAGCAGUAUACUGUAGGUAGGGGUAAAGGAUAGAUAAUAGACAGUAACAGCAGUAUACUGUAGGUAGGGGAAAAGGAUAGAUAAUAGACAGUAACAGCAGUAUACUGUAGGUAGGGGUAAAGGAUAGAUAGACAGUAACAGCAGUAUACUGUAGGUAGGGGAAAAGGAUAGAUAAUAGACAGUAACAGCAGUAUACUGUAGGUAGGGGAAAAGGAUAGAUAAUAGACAGUAACAGCAGUAUACUGUAGGUAGGGGUAAAGGAUAGAUAGACAGUAACAGCAGUAUACUGUAGGUAGGAGUAAAGUGACGAGCCAAAUUGAUUUUUGAUACUGUCGCAAAUGUAACCAGCAUUCCCCAAGAGAGGAUGGCUUUCACUUCAGCAGUAAUACAUUCAUGAACUUCUUUGAGGAAAUGAUUAUUAGAAAGCAAAUUA
Molecule: long non-coding RNA, 1268 nt
Organism: Oncorhynchus keta (chum salmon)
Lineage: Eukaryota; Metazoa; Chordata; Actinopteri; Salmoniformes; Salmonidae
Exons: 4
Source: RefSeq, a predicted model, not a curated record